GGAGAGGUGGCCGAGUGGCCGAAGGCGCGCCCCUGCUAAGGGCGUAUACCCUAAUCCGGUAUCGGGGGUUCGAAUCCCCCCCUCUCCGCCA
This 91-nucleotide transfer RNA is filed under the name Simiduia agarivorans. RNAcentral's name for it is "tRNA-Ser". It matches the Rfam family "tRNA". Rfam says of the family: Transfer RNA (tRNA) molecules are approximately 80 nucleotides in length. The record is from RNAcentral. RNAcentral also lists the same sequence under 5 other names. Lineage: Bacteria; Pseudomonadati; Pseudomonadota; Gammaproteobacteria; Cellvibrionales; Cellvibrionaceae.